Long non-coding RNA from Entelurus aequoreus (snake pipefish), 1116 nucleotides. RefSeq lists it as uncharacterized. The transcript is spliced from 3 exons. The record is from RefSeq and is a predicted model, not a curated record. Lineage: Eukaryota; Metazoa; Chordata; Actinopteri; Syngnathiformes; Syngnathidae.
UUGUGGUGCAUUUGCAUGCUUUUUGUGUUCUGUUUUUACACUUACCACCUAUUAGUAUCCCAGUUUUUAACCGUUUUGACACUCCCCUGAACAUUUUUAGACUCGGACUGACUAAGGAAAAGGAGCCAGGAGAACAGCAACAGCCAACAAAAAGUGUUUCCCCUGUUUCCCCUGAUCGAGCUGUGUGCCUCGACUUCCCUCUGGAUUCCGGACUGCCUCCCUCGAUCCUCGAUCCCUGCUUGGACACGGACCUCGUUGCUUCUCUCCAGCCCCAGACCGCUUGCUUGCCCACGGACUGCCUUCUCGCCUUGCCCCUUAGGUCUGACGUCCAACACACACAACAAACUCUGCCGGCACCCCCGCAUCGCGGCCACGCACCUGCAUGGCUGCAGGCAAUCAACAAUCCGUGCACCUGGGUCUGAUGAGGACAGACAGCAUAAAGACGAAGAUCCAGUGCCAGAACGUAGUUCACUCCUCGUAUGUUUCCCGUGAUCGAGAUGUGUGCCUCAACUUCCCUCUGGAUUCCGGACUUCCUCCCUCGAUCCUCGACCCCUGCUUGGACACGGACCUCGUUGCUUCUCUCCAGCCCCCGACCGGCUUGCUUGAUUCCUACUGGUAGUAGACAUUUUUGCCAAUGGGAAAAGCUAAAUUGUGUAGGGCUGCAGCUUCGAUUAGCGAUUAUUUUAGUAAUUGACUAAUAUAUCGAUUAGUUUGUUUGAUUUAUAGAGGAACUGGAUACAACACACUUUAUAACAGGGAUGUCAAACGUACGGCCUGAGGGCCGGAUCAGGCCCGCGAACAGGUUUUAUCCGGCCCGCGGGAUGAGUUUGCUAAGUAUAAAAAUUAAAUGACAUUUUUGAAUGAAAGAAACUGCUGUUCUAAAUGUGUCCACUAGAUGUCGCAAUAGCAAUUAUUUGUAUCUUUGUAGACGAUGCUACAUAUGUACAAAAUAAAGUAAAUGAUCAAACUACAUAAAUAACAUCCUGUAAUUUGAUUUUGAUAUAUUUUUUUUAUCUUAAUAGAUUGAAAAUGAACACCAAUGUGUUGACUAGUCAACAUUAUCACAUGAUUUAUUCAGAAAGUAUAAAUAACGACAAAUAAAGAUCGAAUACUAUU